RNAcentral lists this ribosomal RNA (2312 nucleotides) under Salmonella enterica subsp. enterica serovar Johannesburg. Its description in RNAcentral is "partial 23S ribosomal RNA". It matches the Rfam family "Bacterial large subunit ribosomal RNA", at positions 646 to 2925 of the family's 2925-position model. Lineage: Bacteria; Pseudomonadati; Pseudomonadota; Gammaproteobacteria; Enterobacterales; Enterobacteriaceae. The record is from RNAcentral.
UUAACCGAAUAGGGGAGCCGGAGGGAAACCGAGUCUUAACCGGGCGUUAAGUUGCAGGGUAUAGACCCGAAACCCGGUGAUCUAGCCAUGGGCAGGUUGAAGGUUGGGUAACACUAACUGGAGGACCGAACCGACUAAUGUUGAAAAAUUAGCGGAUGACCUGUGGCUGGGGGUGAAAGGCCAAUCAAACCGGGAGAUAGCUGGUUCUCCCCGAAAGCUAUUUAGGUAGCGCCUCGUGAAUUCAUCUCCGGGGGUAGAGCACUGUUUCGGCUAGGGGGCCAUCCCGGCUUACCAACCCGAUGCAAACUGCGAAUACCGGAGAAUGUUAUCACGGGAGACACACGGCGGGUGCUAACGUCCGUCGUGAAGAGGGAAACAACCCAGACCGCCAGCUAAGGUCCCAAAGUCAUGGUUAAGUGGGAAACGAUGUGGGAAGGCCCAGACAGCCAGGAUGUUGGCUUAGAAGCAGCCAUCAUUUAAAGAAAGCGUAAUAGCUCACUGGUCGAGUCGGCCUGCGCGGAAGAUGUAACGGGGCUAAACCAUGCACCGAAGCUGCGGCAGCGACGCUGAUGCGUUGUUGGGUAGGGGAGCGUUCUGUAAGCCUGCGAAGGUGUGUCGUGAGGCAUGCUGGAGGUAUCAGAAGUGCGAAUGCUGACAUAAGUAACGAUAAAGCGGGUGAAAAGCCCGCUCGCCGGAAGACCAAGGGUUCCUGUCCAACGUUAAUCGGGGCAGGGUGAGUCGACCCCUAAGGCGAGGCCGAAAGGCGUAGUCGAUGGGAAACGGGUUAAUAUUCCCGUACUUGGUGUUACUGCGAAGGGGGGACGGAGAAGGCUAUGUUGGCCGGGCGACGGUUGUCCCGGUUUAAGCGUGUAGGUGUGUGUUCCAGGUAAAUCCGGUUCACUUUAACACUGAGGCGUGAUGACGAGGCACUACGGUGCUGAAGCAACAAAUGCCCUGCUUCCAGGAAAAGCCUCUAAGCAUCAGGUAACAUCAAAUCGUACCCCAAACCGACACAGGUGGUCAGGUAGAGAAUACCAAGGCGCUUGAGAGAACUCGGGUGAAGGAACUAGGCAAAAUGGUGCCGUAACUUCGGGAGAAGGCACGCUGACACGUAGGUGAAGUGAUUUACUCAUGGAGCUGAAGUCAGUCGAAGAUACCAGCUGGCUGCAACUGUUUAUUAAAAACACAGCACUGUGCAAACACGAAAGUGGACGUAUACGGUGUGACGCCUGCCCGGUGCCGGAAGGUUAAUUGAUGGGGUCAGCGCAAGCGAAGCUCCUGAUCGAAGCCCCGGUAAACGGCGGCCGUAACUAUAACGGUCCUAAGGUAGCGAAAUUCCUUGUCGGGUAAGUUCCGACCUGCACGAAUGGCGUAAUGAUGGCCAGGCUGUCUCCACCCGAGACUCAGUGAAAUUGAACUCGCUGUGAAGAUGCAGUGUACCCGCGGCAAGACGGAAAGACCCCGUGAACCUUUACUAUAGCUUGACACUGAACAUUGAGCCUUGAUGUGUAGGAUAGGUGGGAGGCUUUGAAGUGUGGACGCCAGUCUGCAUGGAGCCGGCCUUGAAAUACCACCCUUUAAUGUUUGAUGUUCUAACGUGGACCCGUGAUCCGGGUUGCGGACAGUGUCUGGUGGGUAGUUUGACUGGGGCGGUCUCCUCCUAAAGAGUAACGGAGGAGCACGAAGGUUGGCUAAUCCUGGUCGGACAUCAGGAGGUUAGUGCAAUGGCAUAAGCCAGCUUGACUGCGAGCGUGACGGCGCGAGCAGGUGCGAAAGCAGGUCAUAGUGAUCCGGUGGUUCUGAAUGGAAGGGCCAUCGCUCAACGGAUAAAAGGUACUCCGGGGAUAACAGGCUGAUACCGCCCAAGAGUUCAUAUCGACGGCGGUGUUUGGCACCUCGAUGUCGGCUCAUCACAUCCUGGGGCUGAAGUAGGUCCCAAGGGUAUGGCUGUUCGCCAUUUAAAGUGGUACGCGAGCUGGGUUUAGAACGUCGUGAGACAGUUCGGUCCCUAUCUGCCGUGGGCGCUGGAGAACUGAGGGGGGCUGCUCCUAGUACGAGAGGACCGGAGUGGACGCAUCACUGGUGUUCGGGUUGUCAUGCCAAUGGCACUGCCCGGUAGCUAAAUGCGGAAGAGAUAAGUGCUGAAAGCAUCUAAGCACGAAACUUGCCCCGAGAUGAGUUCUCCCUGAGACUUAGAGUCUCCUGAAGGAACGUUGAAGACGACGACGUUGAUAGGCCGGGUGUGUAAGCGCAGCGAUGCGUUGAGCUAACCGGUACUAAUGAACCGUGAGGCUUAACCUUACAACGCCGAA